ACAUCUUUUAGAGAGCAGAAAGACAUCAACUUGGCUUAGCUUGUACCAGUAAACACUGUAUCGUGAUACGUAUCGUAUCGCGACCCCUGUAUCGCGACCCUCCCGUAUCGUUACACCUCUAAUGCGUAGUGUUAUCAAUGUCAGGCAAUAACGAUUGUAAACUAAUUGUGUCAUACUUUUUUUACUCAUUUGUAAUUAACUGAUUUAAAAUACACAUUUAUUUCAAUGAAAGGAUUUCAAUUUUUUUUUUUGGUUUUUGGUCGCCCGGCCCGUCAGCGAAAAAUGUAUUUUGGGUAGAGAAAUUAUACUUCUUCGAAAGAUAAAUUGCUGAGCAGAAACUACAAGCUGCGCCCCACCCCACCUCUACCCGUACCCACUCCCACGGGUAUCAGUAAGUUUAAUAUUGAGGAGGGUAGCCUGGGGUGGUACGUCCACUUUGAUUACCUCUGUCACCUCUGGGACAAAGGUGUUCAUAUUUAACAUUGAAGUCCUUGCCUUAAUGUGCACGUUCUGAUGCAAAAAGUAGUGAACAUGAAAUUCAUAACGAGGCUUUCGGAAACUUUCAGCAUUGCGUGUGCAUGUCAUGCGAUCCAGCUAAUGUUCCUUCUGAUCGAUGAGCGGAGCUACACUGCCGAGUUCGGUUUUCGAUCACCAAAAAGUUGAAAUAAAAAAAAUAAAAUUGAUGUUUUGUAGUAUGGUAGUCUUAUCUAGUUAAGUAAUUUAGCCCAUGAUGUACAUUUGUGAUGAAAUACUGAAUUAAUCUUUUUUUAAAUGUACUAUUUCAAAGGUAUGAUGCUGAAUAUAUAAUCCAAGACAAUUUAGAAUGUCAUUUAUUUAAUCAAAAUUCAAAUUAAUGGUAAAACUUUGAUGAAGAUACUUCAGUACAGAUUUUUCAGGACAUUAUCCAUUGUAGAAAAACACCCAGAGCCUUGUUUCAAAUUUGAUUUAUUCUAACUAAAGAUAUAUUAUUUCAGUUUAUCAUUAUCCCUUUUCCUAUGUUUACAAGCAAUGAAACUGUGCAUAAAAUUACUUGUCCCCAAUACUUUCCUGCUAUUUUUUGCAUACAAGUGUUUGUAAUAUGAACUUACCUUUGUAUCUGAUCUUUUAAUGAUAAACGUUUAUUUGCAGUUUUGGUUUACCAUGAUGUAAUCUACAUAUAUUUUGGUAUCAUAUAAUAAAUGAAAUCUGUUUUGUGGUAACCAGACUUUUCAGGGAUGGGGCUAUGGCUAUUAAAGUGAAACUACUUUCCCUGGGAAAUUAUUUCUGCUACAUGGCUCCAGAUAAGGACUGUAUGUACAAGUGCUACACUGUAUGUAAAAGUGCAAAUAUACGAGAUAAGAUGUAUGAAUUAAGGAAAGGACCUGAUGUCUGUGUAUGGCCAAAGCUUUAUUUAAAUGUUACUUUUAUGUUUUGAGCAAUAUUCCCCUCAACCUCUUGACAUCAUCACCAUAAUAGCUAAGUGCUCACUGCUGCUACACAAACUUAUAUUUCUAUUUAAGAAAACCAGAUGUUCAGCCAUUGCCUAUUGGCAAACAUGGGUGAGCUGAAUGAACUCUUAGCAGCUUUUCCAAAAUCGAGCAACUGAGAGUACUGAAGCUGAGGAGGAAGCCUGCAGUUGGGCUCUUACAAGCCACUGACAAGUACAUGGUGACCUGGGUAAAAGAAUGGCUUCGAGUUCCAGGAGCAAGGCUUAGAAAUGGCAUAAGGAAAACGCGUACUGAAAAACAGAGGUGUAGAAAGAGAAUCUGCAAACAAAAGUGCUGAAUUGCAACAGAACAAAGAAAUCCAAAAAGUUGGUGUUGACAACAUAUUUUUCACAGGGUUAUGACCCUUGUUUUUGAACUUGGUACAUAUACUGCCAGGACACUACUGAAGUUAAUAAAUGAAACCGUCUGUGCUUAUCUAAGGUACAAACUCCAUAAGAUGGUUAUAAGAACUUAUUUUGUAUGGAGUUAUGGCCUUUGCUUCAUGCUUUUUUAACUUGAUGAAAUAUAGGGGGAAACAGUUUGUCUCACAAACGAAUUUGAAGCCACAUAAAUGAAAUUUUGCAGGUCAAUAUUAGGGGUAUAUGUUUAGACUGUGUUUUAAAACUGGUUUUGAGAAUAUAUGUUUCACAUCCGCCUUGUUGCAGGUAGUAACACUGUUUUCUUGUUAAUAAUAAUUAAUUAAUAAUAAAGUUUAUUAUUCUA
Molecule: long non-coding RNA, 2189 nt
Filed under: Haliotis rufescens (red abalone)
Lineage: Eukaryota; Metazoa; Mollusca; Gastropoda; Lepetellida; Haliotidae
Description: uncharacterized LOC125382137
Source: RNAcentral